Long non-coding RNA from Myotis lucifugus (little brown bat), 795 nucleotides. RefSeq lists it as uncharacterized. The record is from RefSeq and is a predicted model, not a curated record. The transcript has 2 exons. NCBI's taxonomy places the organism in Eukaryota, Metazoa, Chordata, Mammalia, Chiroptera, Vespertilionidae.
UUCAAAUCCCGACACUGCCGCCGAGUAGCCGAGGACCUGGAGUAAGUUACUCCCUUCCCCGGGCCGCUCUCCUCGGGGCGGGUGGGGAGGCCGGCAGGACCUCUCCCGGGACUGGGGGCGGCCUCACUGGGCGCCGUGUCCCGCACACGGGUGUUCGCGUCUAUGAACGGCUGCCGCUGUCGGGACUCCGGGCCAGCACCUCCCAUCGGCGGGUCGGUGGCACCUUUGUUCCCAUCGUGUUCCUCGGAAUGAACACCAUUACCCUCCGCGCCGAGGAGGAAGGAGGGAUGGAGACCUGGUCCCAGCCCCGAAUCAGUCCCGAGACCCCAACACCCAUGCCCGUCCGCGGUGCCACGAUUUCUUUCCGAAGGUUAACGUCUGGCAUUAAGAUGACUUGUUUGACGCCAGGAAACCAUUUCUGAUGACAUCCUGUUCCCACUGCAGCCUGGCCAAGCAGCUUUUCCACGACAUGAACGGGAGUGCACAGCGGGGGGCUGACCUCGAAUGUGAAGCCGGUCUCAGGACGCGCUUCCAGGAUGACUGGCGGGAGGACGGCGUCCUGCUCUGCGGUGCUUCCCCCCAAAGUGCCAAGAAUAUUAGUCAAUGGGACUUUUAUUGGAGGGACACCGACACCCACAGGCUCCACCAGGGAGGGAAACUGCUGCCACUGCUUCAUCGGUGUUAUUGAAAAAACAGCAACAAGCAUUUCGGCGACAGUGUUUGAGGAUGUCUCGCUAUGUGAACAGUCUUCGUGAAAACGUUAAAAUGAUGAACAAUAAAUCGCUGUGGAAACCU